RNAcentral lists this ribosomal RNA (460 nucleotides) under uncultured bacterium. Its description in RNAcentral is "partial 16S ribosomal RNA". It matches the Rfam family "Bacterial small subunit ribosomal RNA", at positions 338 to 795 of the family's 1533-position model. The record is from RNAcentral.
CCUACGGGAGGCAGCAGUGAGGAAUAUUGGUCAAUGGGCGCGAGCCUGAACCAGCCAAGUAGCGUGAAGGAUGACUGCCCUACGGGUUGUAAACUUCUUUUAUAAAGGAAUAAAGUGAGGCACGUGUGCCUUUUUGCAUGUACUUUAUGAAUAAGGAUCGGCUAAUUCCGUGCCAGCAGCCGCGGUAAUACGGAGGAUCCGGGCGUUAUCCGGAUUUAUUGGGUUUAAAGGGAGCGUAGGUGGCUUCUUAAGCGAGUUGUGAAAGUCUGCGGCUCAACCGUAAAAUUGCAAUUGAUACUGGCAGUCUUGAGUGCAGUGGAGGUAGGCGGAAUUCGUGGUGUAGCGGUGAAAUGCUUAGAUAUCACGAAGAACUCCGAUUGCGAAGGCAGCUUACUAAACUGCCACUGACAUUGAUGCUCGAAGGUGUGGGUAUCAAACAGGAUUAGAUACCCUAGUAGUC